AUGCUUUUCUUGAGGACACAACAGGAAGACAUCACACAAAAGCCCAGGGGCUGGAGACACAGGCCGGAUAUUCACUCAGGGGACAGAAUGGAGAGGCAGAGCACUCCAACUUCAGAUCCCACAGGCAGAGAUGGCACUGAGGAGACGAAAGCUGACCUGAGCCAGGCUCUGGUAUGGCCGUGUGCGACUUGGGGUGACAAGAAGGAACUGACUCCGACCCAAGGGCUGCAGACACCUCAGAGGAACCCGAGUUUGGUAGCAGAAGAUGUCAUGGCUGAGAGCAUUCUCUCUUCAGGUCCACUGGGUACUGUCAGCGAUUGUGGUCUCAAGAUCCAAUUACCCCGUGAAAGCUGCAAGGCAAUUCAGUCCCAGAUGACUCUGAAGAAAGACAAAUGGGAUGAUAAGACACAUUGUUUUUCGAGUUUCUUUCUUCAACUACCAUUUCUUGGAGAUCUUUCCAGGCCACCUCGGUCGGUUGUGCUCUCUUCCUGAAGCUGCCUGUGGCGUCAACCAGUCAUGGAUAAAGGAGCCUCUGAAGUCACUCCCAGGACGCCCCACCCAUCGUCAGAAGGAUGACAGAUGAAUACCUAAAACCCUCCCUGGCCUCCAAAAACAUAAUGAGUUUUUUACUCGGUAGGCAACUGGGGAGGCACAGAAAUGAUGUGGAUUUGUCCAAAUGGCUAUGGAUGCUGACACGAGCUGCACCAGGAUGGAGUUGGCCAUUGCCAAAAAGUCGUAUAACCUACCUGCUUAUGCCUAUCUGUAAUUUUGGAAAAUGAAAAAAAAUGUAGAGGACUUCCCUGGUGGCACAGUGGUUGAGAAUCCGCCUGCCAAUGCAGGGGACACGGGUUCGAGCCCUGGUCCAGGAAGAUCCCACAUACUGUGGGGCAGCUAAGCCCGUGCACCACAACUACUGAGCCUGAGCUCUAGAGCCCAUGAGGCACAACUACUGAGCACGCGUGCCACAACUUCUGAAGCCCGUGCACCUAGAGCCCGUGCUCCACAAUAAGAGAAGCCACCGCAAUGAGAAGUCCGCGCACUGCAAUGAAGAGUAGCCCCCGCUCGCUGCAACUAGAGAAAGCCCGUGUGCAGCAACGAAGAUCCAACACAGCCAUAAAUCAAUAAAUAAUUGUAGAAUAACAAACUCCUCCCUUGUUUCACCUGUUAAAAUAAAAGGUGCCUGUCACUCCUUUUCAUUUGAUAUGUUGUUAUGUCGAUACAGUUUUCCUGGGUUACACUGGAGAGGGGAUUCUAUUCCUCCUAACAGUCUAUGCAGGGGCUCUCAGACACAGCGGAGAUGGUGAGAUCACACUGCAUGUCAGAUUUCUUCCAUCUUUAAU
RNAcentral lists this long non-coding RNA (1340 nucleotides) under Phocoena sinus (vaquita). RNAcentral's name for it is "lncRNA (ENSPSNG00000011041.1)". The record is from RNAcentral. Lineage: Eukaryota; Metazoa; Chordata; Mammalia; Artiodactyla; Phocoenidae.